This 865-nucleotide ribosomal RNA is filed under the name uncultured Bacillota bacterium. Its description in RNAcentral is "bacterial SSU rRNA". It matches the Rfam family "Bacterial small subunit ribosomal RNA", at positions 1 to 867 of the family's 1533-position model. The record is from RNAcentral. Lineage: Bacteria; Bacillati; Bacillota.
GCCCUUAGAGUUUGAUCAUGGCUCAGGAUGAACGCUGGCGGCGUGCUUAACACAUGCAAGUCGAGCGAAGCACUUGAGUUUGAUUCUUCGGAUGAAGACUUUUGUGACUGAGCGGCGGACGGGUGAGUAACGCGUGGGUAACCUGCCUCAUACAGGGGGAUAACAGUUAGAAAUGACUGCUAAUACCGCAUAAGACCACAGGGUCGCAUGACCCGGUGGUAAAAACUCCGGUGGUAUGAGAUGGACCCGCGUCUGAUUAGCUAGUUGGUGGGGUAACGGCUCACCAAGGCGACGAUCAGUAGCCGACCUGAGAGGGUGACCGGCCACAUUGGGACUGAGACACGGCCCAAACUCCUACGGGAGGCAGCAGUGGGGAAUAUUGCACAAUGGGCGAAAGCCUGAUGCAGCGACGCCGCGUGAAGGAUGAAGUAUUUCGGUAUGUAAACUUCUAUCAGCAGGGAAGAAAAUGACGGUACCUGACUAAGAAGCCCCGGCUAACUACGUGCCAGCAGCCGCGGUAAUACGUAGGGGGCAAGCGUUAUCCGGAUUUACUGGGUGUAAAGGGAGCGUAGACGGCAUGGCAAGUCUGAAGUGAAAGCCCGGGGCUCAACCCCGGGACUGCUUUGGAAACUGUCAGGCUAGAGUGCUGGAGAGGUAAGUGGAAUUCCUAGUGUAGCGGUGAAAUGCGUAGAUAUUAGGAGGAACACCAGUGGCGAAGGCGGCUUACUGGACAGUAACUGACGUUGAGGCUCGAAAGCGUGGGGAGCAAACAGGAUUAGAUACCCUGGUAGUCCACGCCGUAAACGAUGACUACUAGGUGUCGGGUAGCAAAGCUAUUCGGUGCCGCAGCAAACGCAAUAAGUAG